This 437-nucleotide ribosomal RNA is filed under the name uncultured bacterium. RNAcentral's name for it is "partial 16S ribosomal RNA". It matches the Rfam family "Bacterial small subunit ribosomal RNA", at positions 29 to 507 of the family's 1533-position model. The record is from RNAcentral.
AGCGAACGCUGGCGGCAUGCUUAACACAUGCAAGUCGCGCGGGUGGUUUCUGCCAUCUUCGGCUGACGGGUGAGUAUCCCGUUGGAAUGUAUCCCGAGGUCGGGGCCUACCCUUUGAUACUGGUUCUCAUACCGCAUGUUACCUGUGUGUCAAAGCCUUCGGUCGCCUUGGGAGCAGGCUGCGUCCGAUUAGGUAGGUGGUGGGGUAAAGGCCUACCAAUCCUGCGUUCGGUAGCUGCUCUGCGAGGACGAUCAGACACACUGGGACUGAGACACGGCCCAGAAUCGUACGGGAGGGAGGAGUGGGGAAUAUUGGACAAUGGGGGCAAGCCUGAUCCAGCAAUGCGGGGUAGGUGAAGAAGGUCGUAGGAUUGUAAAGCCGUUUCGGCGGGGACGAUGAUGACGGUACCCGCAGAAGAAGCACCGGCUAACUUCGUG